AGAGUUUGAUCCUGGCUCAGGAUGAACGCUGGCGGCGUGCCUAAGACAUGCAAGUCGAGUGGGUUUAGACCCACGGCGAACGGGUGAGUAAUACCUAGGAACUUUCUUUAAGUGGAGCACAACCAGUCGAAAGAUUGGAUAAUACUUCAUGUGACCGCAAGGUUAAAGUCGCAAGACGCUUAAAGUGAGGCCUGGGCACCAUCAGCUAGUUGGUAAGGUAAUGGCUUACCAAGGCUAUGACGGUUAGGGGUCCCGAGAGGGAUAACCCCCACACUGGAACUGCGACACGGUCCAGACUCCUACGGGAGGCAGCAGUUUGGAAUUUUGGACAAUGGGCGAAAGCCUGAUCCAGCGACGCCGCGUGGACGAUGAAGGCCUUCGGGUCGUAAAGUCCUUUUGCUCGGGAACAAUAUUUUGAGCGUACCGAGAGAAUAAGAGGUUGCUAACUCUGUGCCAGCAGCAGCGGUAAUACAGAGACCUCAAGCGUUAUCCGGAAUCAUUGGGCGUAAAGCGUACCGAUAGGUGGUUUUACAAGUCAGAAGUGAAAUCUUCAAGCUCAACUUGGAGUCUGUCUUUUGAAACUGUAAAACUAGAGGGGCAAAGAGGAAGCUGGAACGAACGGUGUAGUAGUGAAAUGCGUUGAUAUCGUUCGGAACACCAAUAGCGUAGGCAGGCUUCUGGGUGCCACCUGACACUGCUAGGACGAAAGCGUGGGGAGCGAAUGGGAUUAGAUACCCUGGUAGUCC
Molecule: ribosomal RNA, 746 nt
Filed under: uncultured bacterium
Lineage: Bacteria
Description: bacterial SSU rRNA
Rfam family: Bacterial small subunit ribosomal RNA
Source: RNAcentral